This is a long non-coding RNA of Octopus sinensis (East Asian common octopus), 101 nucleotides long. RefSeq lists it as uncharacterized. The record is from RefSeq and is a predicted model, not a curated record. The transcript is spliced from 2 exons. Lineage: Eukaryota; Metazoa; Mollusca; Cephalopoda; Octopoda; Octopodidae.
UAACAUGCGGUAUGUGGGUUCUUGGUUCUGAUUGUUUAAGCAGCAGUAGCCGAGGAAGGAGACGGUGAAGAUGAAGAAGAAGAUGCAGAAAGAGAGAGAGA